This 104-nucleotide small nucleolar RNA is filed under the name Plasmodium gallinaceum. Its description in RNAcentral is "small nucleolar RNA snoR13". It matches the Rfam family "small nucleolar RNA snoR13". The record is from RNAcentral. Lineage: Eukaryota; Apicomplexa; Aconoidasida; Haemosporida; Plasmodiidae.
UUGUGGGUGAUGAUAAAAAAUUCUCAAUGUUCGCAGUUGAGAGUUUUAAAAGAAAACUCUAUGAAUUAUUUUAGUAGCCUUCACUUAGAUGUCUGACGCAAAAA